GAUGCUAUUUCUAGAGAUAGAAAGUUACUUCGGUACAUCGGUGACAGGUGGUGCAUGGUUGUCGUCAGCUCGUGUCGUGAGAUGUUGGGUUAAGUCCCGCAACGAGCGCAACCCCUAUUGUUAGUUGCCAUCAUUCAGUUGGGCACUCUAGCGAGACUGCCGGUAAUAAACCGGAGGAAGGUGGGAUGACGUCAAAUCAUCAUGCCCCUUAUGACCUGGGCUACACACGUGCUACAAUGGUUGGUACAACGAGUUGCGAGUCGGUGACGGCGAGCUAAUCUCUUAAAGCCAAUCUCAGUUCGGAUUGUAGGCUGCAACUCGCCUACAUGAAGUCGGAAUCGCUAGUAAUCGCGGAUCAGCACGCCGCGGUGAAUACGUUCCCGGGCCUU
Molecule: ribosomal RNA, 389 nt
Filed under: uncultured Streptococcus sp.
Lineage: Bacteria; Bacillati; Bacillota; Bacilli; Lactobacillales; Streptococcaceae
Description: bacterial SSU rRNA
Rfam family: Bacterial small subunit ribosomal RNA
Source: RNAcentral